CGUUGGGGGAUAAUGUCGACAUUUCCACUCCCAAUGACGGUAACAACAGCUUCUUCAAGGUACUCUGGAAAAGAUGUGAACUCCUGUAACUCCUCAGAAGGCCAGUGACAGGAAAAGUUUCUCCAAGAUGGUUAACACUAAUCUCCAAUACCCUGUGUAAAACAACAGGGACUGUGAUAAGUAGCUUCACUUGUCCACACACUAUCUAGGAUCACCCAGGAAAAGAGUUCCAAUGAAGAAUUGUUUAGGUCAUGUUGGCCUGCAGGCAUGACUAUGCGAGGACUGUCUUGAUUGUCUUAAUUGAAGUGGGAAAGACAUAGCCCAUGGUAGGCAAUACCAUUCCCUAGGCAUAGAGUCCUAAAGUGUAUAAGAGUAGAAUAAGAAAGGUGAACCCAGAAUAAAUGCCUUCAUUGCUUUA
Molecule: long non-coding RNA, 418 nt
Organism: Mus musculus (house mouse)
Lineage: Eukaryota; Metazoa; Chordata; Mammalia; Rodentia; Muridae
Product: predicted gene, 41939
Exons: 2
Source: RefSeq, a predicted model, not a curated record